RNAcentral lists this ribosomal RNA (253 nucleotides) under uncultured bacterium. RNAcentral's name for it is "partial 16S ribosomal RNA". It matches the Rfam family "Bacterial small subunit ribosomal RNA", at positions 524 to 776 of the family's 1533-position model. The record is from RNAcentral.
UACGUAGGGGGCAAGCGUUGUCCGGAUUUAUUGGGCGUAAAGAGCGUGUAGGCGGCUAGAUAGGUCCGUUGUGAAAACUCGAGGCUCAACCUCGAGACGUCGAUGGAAACCAUCUGGCUAGAGUCCGGAAGAGGAGAGUGGAAUUCCUGGUGUAGCGGUGAAAUGCGCAGAUAUCAGGAAGAACACCGAUGGCAAAGGCAGCUCGCUGGGACGGUACUGACGCUGAGGCGCGAAAGCGUGGGGAGCAAACAGG